RNAcentral lists this ribosomal RNA (419 nucleotides) under uncultured Actinomycetales bacterium. Its description in RNAcentral is "bacterial SSU rRNA". It matches the Rfam family "Bacterial small subunit ribosomal RNA", at positions 356 to 774 of the family's 1533-position model. Lineage: Bacteria; Bacillati; Actinomycetota; Actinomycetes; Actinomycetales. The record is from RNAcentral.
GGGGAAUAUUGCACAAUGGGCGAAAGCCUGAUGCAGCGACGCCGCGUGAGGGAUGAAGGCCUUCGGGUUGUAAACCUUUUUCGCUCUUGACCAAGGGCCGCUGUUGGGGUGGUCUGCGGGCAUGGGGUAAAGAAGCACCGGCUAACUACGUGCCAGCAGCCGCGGUAAUACGUAGGGUGCGAGCGUUGUCCGGAAUUAUUGGGCGUAAAGGGCUUGUAGGUGGCGUGUCGCGUCUGUCGUGAAAUUCACUGGCUUAACUAGUGAAGUGCGGUGGGUACGGGCAUGCUUGAGUGUGGUAGGGGAGAUUGGAAUUCCUGGUGUAGCGGUGGAAUGCGCAGAUAUCAGGAAGAACACCGGUGGCGAAGGCGGAUCUCUGGGCCAUUACUGACGCUGAGGAGCGAAAGCGUGGGGAGCGAACA